RNAcentral lists this ribosomal RNA (477 nucleotides) under Triticum aestivum (bread wheat). RNAcentral describes it as "partial small subunit ribosomal RNA". The record is from RNAcentral. Lineage: Eukaryota; Viridiplantae; Streptophyta; Magnoliopsida; Poales; Poaceae.
AUGAAUCCCGUGUGUACUUUACUUGGUUUCCCAACAGGAGACAUGACUAUUGUGCUGCUAUAUGAAGCACCCGUUGGCAUUGCAAUUUUCUCUUUUGAGGGGGACUACCUCAAUGAUCCAGCAAAGGUUCUUAUGAGUCUGAAAGAAUUCGUACGAAAUGAGACGGUGCCCUCCCCAGUUGACAUAGCUAAUAAUGCUAUUGACGAUCACCUGGCCAAGAGGCUCACCGACUUGUGUGGUUAUGAGAAGAAAUUAGUUGUAGGGUGUACUGAAUGUAAAGUAAUAAUUGAAAAGAACCUGGGAAUAACAUGUCUGCAUGUUGACGUUCCGGAUUGUGAGAUGAGAAUUUGCACUCAGAAGAAGCCCAUGCAUACUUUAUCGCCUAAAAGACUAUCAGAUCCUACUGAAGAUUCAACGAUAUUCUUACAUCAACAUGACAUUACUUGCAAGCUCGAGACGGUUAACGACUAUUGUUAA